Molecule: long non-coding RNA, 3613 nt
Filed under: Homo sapiens (human)
Lineage: Eukaryota; Metazoa; Chordata; Mammalia; Primates; Hominidae
Description: HSALNT0007234
Source: RNAcentral
GUUCUGGUUGAGGAACCAGUGAACAACCAGCGGUUGAGAGGGAAUCUGACACCUAGGUUGGGACUAGAAUAGGCCCACAUGGAGCAAGGGAGGCAAAAGAGAAAUCUGAGCUGAAAAUGGAAGGGUAUCGCUCUCUCUUACCCUGUUUGGGAGGCCUCCAGCUUCCCCAGAUCAUGCUCUGUUUUGCCAUGUGGAUGAAUUACCUCUCUUUGUGCCUGCUUCCUGGACCCUCCUCUACCCACAGCUGCUGGAUCUGAUCUUCAUCCAUCUUCACCCAGGCCAAGGACCCCAGGGAGCUCUGGGGAGGCUCCAGUCCACAGUAGUAAUGAGAAGCAGGACUUCCAGGAGCCCUGCUGCCGAUGAGAGUCAGGGAACACGAUCACCUAAUCGUUGUGAAAUUACCAGCAGAUAAACUGGUUGACUCUUCAGAGAGAAAAUUGAGGCUAUCAGAAGUGAAGAGAAAAAUUGGAGGCAUAUGGAAGACAAGGAGACCAAUCAAAAAGCUGUUGUCUUCUUCCAGGCCAGAGACAUUUGAGACCUGAAUGAAGAAUGUAUUUAGUGAGCAUACAGAUUGCAAAAUCAAUAUGAGUUGGAGCAAUUCUGGAAUGGGUCCCCCCAUAAAACAUGACUGUGCAUUCCUAGAAAAGCUCUUUGAGAUCAUCUGCAUUUUGUAGAUGGAAAGUUGAGGCCCAGAGAGGAGACAAGGAAGUGCACAGAGAGUGUCAGCUUCAGAGCUCACUCCAUCUCCUGACCCAGAUGGGAUCUGAUGCCCUUACCUGUCUUUUUGGCAGCCUCUCAUGGGAGCUAUAACACAGGCCCACACCACCACAUCACUGGACAUUCCCGCCUGUGAGAUGCAGCCGUUUCUCUUUCCCAGCAAGUCAUUCUGGAAUAUCUCGCAGUACAUGGACAAGAUCCAGCCAUCUAGGAAGGCUGAUGGGAGGAAGCCCUAACAAUGAACAAAUGUGCAGGGAAAACCCCCAGUGAUUCCCCAAAUGAGCUGAAGCAAAGCAAACCUUCCGGACCUCAUGCUUCACUGAGCAGGCAGAUUGUCUGAGCAGGACCAGGUGAUGAGGAAAAGCAGGAUGGUAUAACUUGCAAUUCCUGAGACAAGCUUUGAAGCAGAAGCCCAGGUGCAGUCAUUACAUUACUAGGAAUAUCACUUACCUUCCUCUGUGUGCCAGCAGCCCAUGAGGGGAAAGAAGGAGCACUGUGCAGAAGUGCCCUCUAACUAGAGACCUAUAGCUUGUUUUUGGGUUUUUUUGUUUGUUUGUUUUUGUUUUGUUUUAUGAGAUGGAGUCUCGCUCUGUCACCCAGGCUGGAGUGCAAUGAUGCAAUCACGUCUCACUGCAACCUCCACCUCCCGGGUUCAAGUGAUUCUCCUCCCUCAGCCUCCUGAGUAGCUGGGAUUACAGGUGCCCACCACCAUGCCUGGCUAAGUUUUGUAUUUUUAGUAGAGAUGGGGUUUCGCCAUGUUGGCCAGGCUGGUCUCGAACUCCUGACCUCAGGGGAUCCACCUGCCUCGGCCUCCCAAAGUGCUGGGAUUACAGGCAUGAGCCACUGCACCCUGCCACAUGUGGCUUGUUAAAGAUCUUACUUUGUGUUAACAAUGACCACACCAAUUCCAGCAUCCUGCACAGACUCAUAUUGACCUCCUGUGGCCACCUGUCCAGCAUCCCAGGAGGCUCUGCUGGCUAGCUUGGAUUUCCUCCUAGCUAACCCUUUAGCUCUCCGAUCCUCAGCAGACCGAGGCCUGAUAUCAUCCUUACCUCCCAGUUAGCUCCUCUCCUCUGAAGGGGGAAGCCAGGAGCAGGGAGAGCACAGUCUACGGGCCAAUGCCGGGGCACCCCUUCCCAAUUAGCCAGAGCCUCAUCCCUGAAAACAUCUUCAGCCUGCUGGCGAGUGCAGCCUGGUGUGAUGCUAUACCCAUAUUCCCUAGCUUGUAUGGUUACCUGACUGCCAAGAGCCAGCAUCCUAUUGGUCUAGUGAGUCUACACCAGGUGGCCAAGUGAGUGGCAAAGAACAGAGAAAAAAUAUGAAGCUACAGUAAAAAUGGUCCAGACAACUUUGAAGACAGACAGGAAACAGGGCAUCCAGAGGACUUUCAGAUGCAGGGUAUAAGCACAUGCAGCAGCAUUAUAUGUAUCGUCAGUGCCAGCUAAUUCAGGCGAGGCAGUUUCUUCUCAAGAGGCUAAGAAAGGAAGACAAUUACCUUUCUGGUGUUCUCCUCACAGCUUACCACCAAGAGCCUUCUGGGGAUCUGGCAUGUUGAAAAUGCUCUAGCCGGUUCUACCUCCCUACCUUUGGUCAUUUUCUUUUCCUGCCUGGCAUCCUCUCUGACCUUUCCCUUAACUCUUAUCCAUAGUUAAUGUUCCAGCUCAUUUUACACCUUCUUUCCCACAAAGCUUUCUGCCUUAGUUUGAGUUACUCAGAAAACAAAAGCCUGAGUCAGAGACCCAGAUGCUGGUCAUUUACUUGAGAACAAUCCCAAGAAGCAGAAGUGAGAGUGUGUGAUGAGUGAAAUGGGAAAGGAAAAACCAAUAUAAGGUAUAUUGUCAAGGUCGCCAUUGCCAGGACCUCCUGAGAAAUGUAAGGCAUGCCUUCCACAAUUAUCCACCAGUUGUAUAGGAAACUGGAGCAUUUAUCCAUAGGCUUCUUCACUCCUUGUUCCCCUUCCCUUGUUCCUGAAUGAGGGUUGCCCCCACAGUACUGUCUUAGUUUAUUUAGGUUGUCCUAGAAGCAGAGCCUGAGACAAGGAUUCGAGUGAAAGUCAUUUAAGAGGUGAUGCAAGGAAGCACCUGUAGGAGAGUGGGAACUUGAUAGUGUGAAGGAAGGAAGCCAAUCAAGGGUGUGAGAGCAGGCAAGUUACCACUAUAGGCAGCUGGAGCUGAAUCCUGCUGGGGAGCUGCCAGUGUAGAAACAUGCCUCAGAUUUAUCCCUGCAGAGAGAUUGGCUGGAGGGACUUUAUCCACCACUUUCAUAAGUCAUCACUUGAGGUUUAUGCCAUGGGUUGGGGGUGGGAGUUUAAUUUCCUGGCACUUCCUUCAUUCCCAGCAUAUAGACAGAGUGGGGUCUUGCUGUCAGAGAGAGCCUGCAGGCAAAGAUUUACAGCUACUCACCCAUUGGAAGUAAAGUGUAUAGACUUUACUCUCUACAAACUAGAAAACAUAGGUGUAACAUCUCCCCCAGGUUGUGCCCUCCAGCAGGCUGAAGAUGCUCCCAGGGUCCUGAAGGAAGAAGCUGAAAGACAGGGACUCUGGCAGAGGGAAGUGAUUCUGAACUGCCUACAACUGUAGUUGAAGUUAGAGGUGGGUGAAGGGCAAGGGCAAAUGGAGCACCAAGGGUGUGUCUAACACCAUCACUGACUAUGCCAAGCCACACUGAUUGUUUCUGUCCUUCCUCUGAGCACCCUUUUUUUAGUAUCCUUAGACAUGCAUAGGUUGCCCUAUAUAUACAUGUAAGUUGAGCACUUGAAAGUAGAAUGCAAACUUUUGGGAUUAAGGCUCUGUGACUUAGCCUUUUUAGCACUUAGCAGAAAGUUUUGUAUCCAACUAUAACUGUCUACUUUUGCAAGAAAAUUGAAGCAUUCAUCAUGAUCUCCCUCCCUCCCCUA